UAAAUUUUGAUUAAUUUUGGAUAAUUCUUGUGAUGAGAAGCUCUUACAUGCAGAUAGAACUGGAGUUUUACUCGGACCUAGUGGGAGAUUGCUCGACAAGAAUGUAAUGAUGCACAACUCGAUAUGGGAUAACCUUGGGAUAGGCAAGACUACGCUUGUUAAAGCAUACUGUGACUAUGAUGAAACAUGUCGUAACAAAGAAGACUAUGUAGCUUGUUUUAUC
Molecule: long non-coding RNA, 223 nt
Filed under: Capsella rubella
Lineage: Eukaryota; Viridiplantae; Streptophyta; Magnoliopsida; Brassicales; Brassicaceae
Description: long non-coding RNA (CRUB_LNC002336)
Source: RNAcentral